This 245-nucleotide long non-coding RNA is filed under the name Elaeis guineensis (African oil palm). RNAcentral describes it as "long non-coding RNA (EGUI_LNC034216)". The record is from RNAcentral. Lineage: Eukaryota; Viridiplantae; Streptophyta; Magnoliopsida; Arecales; Arecaceae.
GGGUGUGGAUUCUUCAACGUGAGGAGUUAGGCAUGGAGGAACUUAAGUAGAUGGAUUUUAGGUUGGUUUAGCCUUAUUCCAAAUAGGACUCAUGAAUCUUGAUCAAAUUUUAACUAAUUAUUGGAUCCAAAUCUAACUAAUUUAGAGAUUAGUUAUAACAAACUAAUUAAUUAGAUCUUAGUAUAAUUAUGAAACCAAUUAGACCCCAAUCCAAUUGAAAAUUAAUUAGAUUAAAAUCCCAUUGA